GCAGUGGUGGUUUAGUGGUAGAAUUCUCACUUUCCAUGUGAGAGGUCUGGGUUCUAUUCCCAGCCACUGCA
Molecule: non-coding RNA, 71 nt
Organism: Orycteropus afer afer
Lineage: Eukaryota; Metazoa; Chordata; Mammalia; Tubulidentata; Orycteropodidae
Source: the annotation of a RefSeq genome assembly